GGGGAGUGAGGAGCUCGCGACGCGCGGCAGCCCGCUCCCUUUUCGGUGAGCUUCAACCGAUCGCAGCUAGGGCUCGGUUUUCUUGGUUUUCGCGACGCUGGUGGAAAGAAACAAGAUGCGGGGCUAGAUUGGCGGCUUUUAUAGGGAUUGGCACACGGGAUAGGAAGGUGAGCACGGGGUUUUCGGGAUCCGGCUCGGAGUUAUGGGAAAGAACCCGCCCUGGAUACGGCGAGGAAGAAGGCACUGCGCGCGGGGUCGGGAUGUCAGCGGGGAAUGGAGCGGGCCCGGCUGUCAGCCAACAGAAGGAGGAGGAGAUGCGGCGCACGCGGGGGCGAGCUGGGCCGCUCGCUGGGCCGAGUGAAGGGGGAGAGGCAAGCAGGCCAGGGAGGGGAAUGGGCCUCGGCCAGACCCAGGGGUUGUUUCCUUCUUUUUUUUCUUUUCUUUUCUAUUUUCUUUUUCCAAAACAUUUUCCAAAUAGAACUCUUGAAAGCAAUUAAAUUCUAAUCAAAAGUCUCCCAGCACGAAAUAAAAUAUGCUCCAGCAUGAAAUGCAAAAUCACGUUUCUAAACUUAUGAUGGAUUUUAAUUUUUACCAAAUUAUUUAUUUGCUAGAUUCAAAUGCUCACAAAAAUACUUAAAUAAAGCCAAUUAAAUCCUAUUAAUUCAAAAGCAAAAUUUGGGUGUUACAUUUGCCUCGAGCUCGCUAAGCUGCUCGAGGUCACGAUGAUGCUCUCGUGAUGGCCUGUGGAG
This 749-nucleotide long non-coding RNA is filed under the name Sorghum bicolor (sorghum). Its description in RNAcentral is "long non-coding RNA (SBIC_LNC007060)". The record is from RNAcentral. Lineage: Eukaryota; Viridiplantae; Streptophyta; Magnoliopsida; Poales; Poaceae.